This is a non-coding RNA of Cinara cedri, 373 nucleotides long. NCBI's taxonomy places the organism in Eukaryota, Metazoa, Arthropoda, Insecta, Hemiptera, Aphididae. The record is from the annotation of a GenBank genome assembly.
AGUGCACCAACUAAAAUUUUUCAUCUGAAGAGGUGCUACACUAUAUUUAUCCCAGCCAGGGGCAUCUCCAGACCUUGAUUAUGGGAGGGGGUGAAGUAAUUAAAUUUAAUAUUAAUGAUUGAUAAGAAAAAUAGACGGACACACUUUGCACGGUGUGUGGACCACUAUUAUAAAUCAGAUGUUGAGAAGGUAGGAUAUUGAGGGAAAUUUAAUGUAUGUCUUUAACUAAGCAAAUUUUUAAAAACAAAAACAAUUCUGAGUGGAGCUUGGUUAAGAGUAUUGCUCAGGGGCAUCUUCGGGUCAAUUUCAUAGGGGGCGAAGAAAUUUUACUAUUGAAUACCACCGCUUUAGUCAACAAAAAAAUAAAACUUUU